GUGGUGUUAGUGAUCCGACCGGCAUCAACUUGCGAUGUUCACUGUAACAUGUACGAUAGCAAGUGUUCUUGAAAACAUUGUCGGACGUUCAGAAGCAAAUGAGGUAUAUGUAUGUGGGAUACAUAAAAUAAAAAAAAUGUGAUGUUGUUCAUGUUCCAAGGCAAAGGAUUUUUCACCUGUAGAUGUCGAUGACAUAGAAGCACGCCUUUACACCAUUAGAGCUGAGGACGGAAAGUUUCACAAAGCUCAGAUAUUUUUUCUUGGCGUAUGGCAGCUAAGGGAAAGGGAAGUACAACUCGAUACAUUUUAUAUAAUUGUUCAUACAGUUGCCACGUUCAAACUUAGAUGGCAGCAGUUCUGUAAUAAUAACUUAAAGUAAAUAAAUGAACGUCAAAUACAGUGCAACAGGCUCUAUCGUGUAAAAUAUCUAUUUCCAUUGUGUGAAAUACACAAACAUUGCAGAAAAUGGGUAAACGACGUGAUUUGUCCCCUACUAGAAUUGGCCAAAUUUCCGGUAUGUUAAAAGCUAAAAACGUGAGCCAGUAAGAAAUAGCUAAAAUUUUAUGUGUCUCACGAAUUUCAGUGAAGCAUAUAUAAAAACAGAUUAACCUUGGCAAAUUUUUAAAGGUUAAACGCAAAGAUGCGUGUGGUCGUCCUCGAAUAACUUCCGAGAGGACAGACAGAAGAAUUCGUUAUAUAUACAUCCGAAAUCGAAAAAUGGACUUGAAUCUUUUGGAAAAACAGAUGACUAAAGCAUGAAUACAAGUUUCUGAAAGAACAACACGGCAUAGGUUAGCUGAAGAAGGUCUUGUCUCCCGAAGACCGGCACGCAAACCUAGGCUCAUACCAGCCAUGAUUACAAAACAUUACAGAUGGGCCCAAAAGUAUAGGAAUUUCGCAAAGGAUGACUGGAAAAAAGUAGAUUUACAAUCUAUUUCUAUUGUAAAUUCAAAAUUUAAGUAAAAUUUGUGACAAUCCUCGGCAUUUUUAAUAUUUUACUGGUAAAUUUCUCAGAUGAAUCCACUUUUCAAGUUUUGGUCGAAAAGGCUCAGUUUGUUAGGCAUUGAUCGGAUAAGAAAUACAAGAAUGAUUGUAUUGUUCCAACAAUAAAACAGCCUCCUUCGGUUAUGGUAUGGUCUGUAAUAAGUAUGAAAGGUCCAGGGCCCCUGUACAUCGUGGAAGGUACAAUGAAUUCAGAACAAUACGAGAAAGUGUUGGAAAAACAGCUGCUUCCAACGAUGAAAAAAUGGUUCAAAAAACGCGAGAAGCCUACUUUUAUGCACGAUGGUGCACCGUUCCACCGUUCUAAACAUAUAUCAACGUAAUUAGAGAAGAAAAAAGUCACCGUUCCUGACUGGCCUGGAAAUUCUUCAGACAUGAAUCCUAUAGAGAAUGUUUGGAACUUUAUAAAACGUUAAGUUUCUAAGCAUGCUCCUACAACCAAGCAGGAU
Molecule: long non-coding RNA, 1451 nt
Organism: Belonocnema kinseyi
Lineage: Eukaryota; Metazoa; Arthropoda; Insecta; Hymenoptera; Cynipidae
Exons: 3
Source: RefSeq, a predicted model, not a curated record